CAGUCGCCGCGGUAAUACGAAGGGGGCUAGCGUUGCUCGGAAUUACUGGGCGUAAAGGGCGCGUAGGCGGACAGUUCAGUCGGGGGUGAAAGCCCGGGGCUCAACCUCGGAAUUGCCUUCGAUACUGGCUGUCUUGAGUAUGAGAGAGGUGUGUGGAACUCCGAGUGUAGAGGUGAAAUUCGUAGAUAUUCGGAAGAACACCAGUGGCGAAGGCGACACACUGGCUCAUUACUGACGCUGAGGCGCGAAAGCGUGGGGAGCAAACAGGAUUAGAGACCCGUGUAGUCCCUGUCUCUUAUAC
RNAcentral lists this ribosomal RNA (301 nucleotides) under uncultured bacterium. Its description in RNAcentral is "partial 16S ribosomal RNA". It matches the Rfam family "Bacterial small subunit ribosomal RNA", at positions 509 to 807 of the family's 1533-position model. The record is from RNAcentral.